RNAcentral lists this small RNA (101 nucleotides) under Arabidopsis thaliana (thale cress). Its description in RNAcentral is "ATSL065670". Lineage: Eukaryota; Viridiplantae; Streptophyta; Magnoliopsida; Brassicales; Brassicaceae. The record is from RNAcentral.
UUUUUAGUUAUUUUAAAUAAAAUAAAUAAUCCCUCGGUGUACCGCGGGUUAAAAUCUAAUGUAUAUUAUAGUUGAGACUUAAAUACAUUAGGGUGGGUUAA